GAUCCUGGCUCAGGAUGAACGCUAGCGGCAGGCUUAACACAUGCAAGUCGAGGGGCAGCAUAAUGGUAGCAAUACUAUUGAUGGCGACCGGCGGACGGGUGCGUAACGCGUAUGCAACCUACCCUUUACAGGGGGAUAACACUGAGAAAUCGGUACUAAUACCCCAUAAUAUUCUGGGAGGCAUCUUCCGGGUUGAAGCUUGGUGGUAAAGGAUGGGGCAUGCGUUGUAUUAGCUAGUU
RNAcentral lists this ribosomal RNA (239 nucleotides) under uncultured bacterium. RNAcentral describes it as "partial 16S ribosomal RNA". It matches the Rfam family "Bacterial small subunit ribosomal RNA", at positions 15 to 250 of the family's 1533-position model. The record is from RNAcentral.